This 161-nucleotide non-coding RNA is filed under the name Acinetobacter baumannii OIFC032. Its description in RNAcentral is "Pseudomonadales-1 RNA". It matches the Rfam family "Pseudomonadales-1 RNA". Lineage: Bacteria; Pseudomonadati; Pseudomonadota; Gammaproteobacteria; Moraxellales; Moraxellaceae. The record is from Rfam by way of RNAcentral.
CCAGUAUGAUUUCGUCACAUGCUGAGUUAGCCUCAGAGUGCUAAUUUGUGGGUUACACCCCAACCUAAGAAUUGAAAGACACCAAAGCAGAUUGAUAGCUAACUUUGAGAAGUGCAUAGUGUUGAGUAGCCUUAGGCCACAGUGCGGAUAAUGCUGUGGCA